This is a long non-coding RNA of Gallus gallus (chicken), 7526 nucleotides long. RefSeq lists it as uncharacterized. The record is from RefSeq and is a predicted model, not a curated record. The transcript has 4 exons. NCBI's taxonomy places the organism in Eukaryota, Metazoa, Chordata, Aves, Galliformes, Phasianidae.
AUCGGUCUUGGAUGGAGAUGAUUAGGGAUUUAAUGCAUCUCGUCACUAAGAAAUGAGAAAUGCUACAGGUCUGCCUCUUUUGAAUUGUGUAGAAAUUGUAUUUUCCUUUUUUUUUUUUUCCCCUCCAUAUGCAAAUCAAAAUGGAAGAAGUGAGAAGAAAUAUUAUAAAGGAUACAUAACGCAAUGGCAGCCCUGUUGUUUCCCACCUUACUCCCCCUUUCACAUUGCUGUUGGCACAGCAGCAUGUGUUUGAAUGUGAAGAAGGGAGUGAAGAAGCUGGUCUCAGCCUCCAUCUCCCAGGCAGGUAGGACAGAGGAAAUACAGGAAAUGCUUGCGUAAAGAUGUAAGAUAGAGAGCAAUUCCCACGCUGCCCCUUUUGGAUUUGGAAGCUGAGAAGCAUCUACUCUGUUAUUUGGAGCAAUUCAGGAGCGGAACAGAUUCCCACAGACAAUUUCCAUGGAUACUACACAACACGGAGGUCUAAGCUUGCUUCCUCCGCUUCCAGAUGUGUGGAAUUACUGCAUUGCUCACAGCAUCAGCUCUUGUCUCUGGAAGCAAAGUCUGGAAGGCACCCCGACUGUCCUCAUCCCUCCCCUCCGCGGCAGUAUCACUGUUCUGUGGACACAUGUGCAGAUCUAGCUGGAGCUGAUGAUCAACCCAAAGGAGGAACCGUCUCAGUCCUGAGAAUACAAAAUAGCUACCACAAAAGACAGCAGUGGUUCGUCUGUGGGUUCCCAUGCAACUUGGAAAUACAAGAGAGAAAUCAUCAUUGCCUUUUGCAGCCUGUAAGAUUUGUGACAGCCAAUUGCAGCGAUAUCCAUAACUUCUGAAAAAGAAAACAUCAUUUUUCUCCUACUGGCAUAUCUCAACUGCACGAGAAGCGUUUCUUUCAGCAUCACCGAAGGCCUGGGAUAUCUCACUUCAUGAAUCACAUUAGAUGUCUUCUCCUAAUUUUGUACGACCAUCUGUGAAUCUUUCCAACCCAGGUUCCAUCAGGAGCAGGAUCUGGCAGUUGGAAGAGAUUUGAGACCAACUCACUUGAUCCUUUUCCUGCUUCUCAGGCUGAUGAUAUUUCAGCAUAAAAGGAGGCUUUGAGCUGGUGUUGACUGCUUUUUCUCCUCUUUUCAAGGUAGUGGCAAAUUCAUCCUUACGGAGUAAGGAUGUCUUUGCAGGAUCACUAAUACCCUUCUUGGUAAUUCAGUUGCAGUGCAAAGCUUUGGAUGACUGAAGUGGGAAGGACAGAGGAAAGAAAAGCAACCCAAACCUUCACCAGCACACCUGCUUGAGGGGCCGCAGAACUCCAAAGUUCAUCAAUACUAUGUGAAUCACUGCUGGAGACUGACAUUAGAAAUCCAUCUUCAUGCUGGCCUGGUUCCUCAUCUCCUACAUCACUAAAUUACAACUUAAAUCCAAAUAUCUCCCAAAUGUUUUGAUACAAGACCUAAAAAACCCCCAUUUCUCAGCUCCCUGAAGACUUCAUAGACCAUAUGCUUCUCAAAGGAGAAGUUAUGCUGUUUCACUUCUUUCUAAUGACUGUUGGCCAAUGGGAAAAUGUAUAACUGAACAACUUAGGUUAUGUCCGCUUGGAGAAGUUGAAGAUUUCAUUAGAUGCUGGACAACAAUAUUCACAUCCAAAGCACUCAAUUUCCAUGCUGCAUCAGGCUUAGUCUCAGUCUCCCCAGAACACAGUGAAAAGAUGUGACAGUAGCUUUCUGUGUAGAAAUAUAUUUGGCAAAUAUAUAAACCCUGCAGAGCAUCCCUUGAGAGGCUAAAGGAAUUUAAACUUAAGUCCCAUGCAGAUCUCCUCUAAGGUGUUAUUUUCCCCCCUAAAUACCAUGUUGAAAUUCUACUUUUACCAAGUUUAAAACUGGAAGAUACAUUAUGUUUGCAGAACUGGAAAUCUCAGUGAAUAAAUAAAUCUUGAGAAGCACAGCUACAGGGAAACAGGCACAGACCUUGCACCAUUCACAGCUUUAAAAAAAGUGUUGGAGCUUAGUAAAGCCAGCAUCACACACACAGCAAAUUAGAAGGAGGGCACGCUCUCCUCAUGAACUUGGGGAAAACCCACACAUUUCAAAAGCACAUAAUUCAGCUGUAAAAUGUUAACAACUGUUUUCCAGACUUCGCUUUGGUAUACAAAAUUCAGCCCAGAAACUCUUCCAUUUCACAAAGUAUGGUUCAAAUUAAGGGGAAAAAACAACCCUUUACAUAUCUUUGCAGUGUUUUUUUUUUUUUCUUUCCACAACACCAGAGUUCUGUCAAAGUGGGAAUCUUCAUAAAAACAACUAUUCAUAUUCUAUGGUUUAUUUAUGCAAAUUGGAUGGGCAAUGUUAAUUAAAUGAACACUUAGAUCUGUGUAGACCUUUUUACCAGUAGGUUUCAAGAAGAUAAAGUAUGAGAACCUUACUUUGGAACCAAAGAAAUGAAGAUCUGGAUAGGUUGGAUAGCUGGGCUGAAGCCAAUGGGAUGGGAUUCAACAAGACCAAAUGCCGGGUCCUGCACUUUGUCCACAAUAACCCCAGGCAACGCUACAGGCUUGGGGCAGAGUGGCUGGAAGACUGUGUAGAGGAAAUGGACCUGGGGGUGUUGAUUGACACUAGACUGAACAUGAGCCAGCAGUGUGCCCAGGUGGCCAAGAAGGCCAAUGGCAUCCUGGCUUGUAUCAGAAAUAGUGUGGCCAGCAGGAACAGGGAAGUAAUUAUCCCCCUGUACUCAGCACUGGUGAAGCCACACCUUGAGUACUGUGUCCAGUUUUGGGCCCCUCACUGUAAGAAAGACAUCGAGGCCCUGGAGCAUGUCCAGAGGAGGGCAACAAAGCUGGUGAGGGGUCUGGAGCACAGGCCUUAUGAAGAGCGGCUGAAGGAGCUGGGAUUGUUCAGUUUAGAGAAGAGGAGGCUCAGGGGAGACCUUAUUGCUCUCUAUAACUACCUGAAGGGAGUUUGUAGUGAGCUGGGGGUCGGCCUCUUCUCUCAGGUGACUAGUGAUAGGACUAGAGGGAAUGGCUUCAAGCUGCACCAGGGAAGAUUCAGGCUGGACGUUAGGAAAUACUACUUCUCUGAAAGGGUGGUCAGGCACUGGAAUGGGCUGCCCAGAGAGGUGGUGGAGUCACCGAACCUGGUGGUGUUCAAAGAGCGUUUGGAUGUUGUGUUGAGGGACAUGGUUUAGCGAGAACCAUUGGUGAUGGGCGAAUGGUUGGACUGGAUGAUCCUGUGGGUCUUUUCCAACCUUAGCGAUUCUAUGAUUCUAUAAGAAACAUUGUAAGUGACGUAUGAGCUGAUCUACCAGACUAGGAACCAAGCCAGGAGAAAGGCAAACGAAGGGAUGGAUGCAUGCAAUAAAAGCCUUCAAAUGAUGCCAGGCUGGAUUUUUUUCCUGUGACAGACAGUUAUUGUACAGUUAUGGUCUUCUAAUUAACCAGUUAAAGUACAGUUUCUGCAAUUGUCCUACAUAUGUAGGUACCUGGAUAUUAAGCCUAUAGUUUCAUGAAGUACAGAAAUUCAGUUCCCUCUGAUCCCCCUGAGAAGAAAACAGAGAACAAAACCAACCACCAUUUACCUUCCCCUGAACACCUCUGCUGGUAACAGCUUUGUAAAAUAUUCCUGUGCAAUAUCUACUGAGCAUUAGCAUUGUGCACUUCAUACAGUGAUGCAUCACUGUCCUUUGCUGCAAUUUUAGUUAAUUACCCCAUGAAAAACUUAAAAGAUUUAAGCUCAUAAAAAGUAGUAAAUAAUACAUAUCAGUAGUUUGAUUUCUUGCUACAACACAAAGUUGGAAGUUCAGCCUUCAGUAACCUCUGAGCUAUUCCUUAUCCCCACAGCUUCUGUGACAGUACUACAGGAACGUCUAUCUGUACACAGCAUACAAUAUUACCCUUUAUGAAGGCAGCACUGGAACGGAGAUAUAUAAUUAAUUACAUUCAAUUUAGCACCAUGGAUUUAAGGAUUUGCCUUCCAUUAGCAAACAGAGGAGGGAAACUUAGAAAGUAGAUAACAUCUAUUAUAGACAGAUCAUAUAAAUGACUAUUUCACACUUAUUUAAUCCUUCAAAAGCACUAUCAGAGAAAAUAGUUGUUUCUUAUAAGCAGAUGUACUGUUUGAAGGCACUCAGAGCAAUAUUCAGAUGCUGCUGUAUGGAGUGUGUGUUAAGGAAAGCCCAAAGCAGUUGGGACAGUCUGCUGUAAGCUGGCAGGGUGAGGGCAGAGGCUGCAGACACAGUGCAUGGAUGGAUGUGUGCAUGGCUGGGGAUAGAUGCAUGGCCACGCUGCCAAAGAGACCUGCCUUGUUCUUGGGCUGGGUGUAGAGACAACAACCCUGAUCUUCAGCGCAAUGGGCAUGCAGCAAGACUGAACAGAAAAGAAGAUACUGGGAGGAAAGUGAUGGCUUGAGACUUUUUUUCCCUGAAAAAUCAGAAAAAACCCCAACUCUGCUACAACCAAAAAUCCAGUCAUCCAAAACAUUUCAUCUGUGAAAAGAAUUCAAAUUCAAUUAUUGACUGCACAACAAAUUACUGCAUCUCAGUCAGAGGCCGUGCGUGGAAGCUGAAACACUGAGAACACAGCUAGAACGUAUUCCAAACGCAGCCUUCACCCAGGACUCUCUGAAGCACAGUCGACAUCAGAGACAGCAGAGCAGGAAAUAUGUUCUCAGAUGGAAAGGUCUGCUACAUUCCUCCAAGAAUUGCCCUCUAGAGCCGGAGCCUCUUUGUCUAACAGGUACAGCUGAGGCAGGUCCCUGUGCUUUGAAACACUGCUGUUAGAGAAGAAUCGAGGUAUGGCUUUUGGUUCAAGACUGAAUGGUUGGUACUGACAAAAUCUGGAGUAGGCAGCAGGACUCUGCUUUCACGUAUACAUUUGUUUCACAGCCUGAAGCUGGAAAAGCUUUAAUUUAAAUCUUACUGAUAAAAUAGAAAAAAAAGCUAUUGAUCUUAAUUUUUUUAGCAUGCAUGGUAUUUUUAUUAAUGAUUAAUAACCUUACUAUACUAUCACAAUAUAUCUGUAUAUGUAUUUUUCUUGUUAAAGUAUACAAUUUAGGUGUAAAACAUUUCAUUUGAUUCAUCUCCAACACUACUAACCUUUUCUUACUUAAAUCUGUAAUGCAAAUCUAUAAAAAUCACCAUCAGCUAUAACAGAUGAGUCCAUUGAAAGGCAGUGGCCCUAGGGAUGGCUCUGACCUCCUGAUCUUUCCAUCGCCACUGCUCACACAGCCAGGACUCCUUUGUCCAGAUCAAACCUUUCAGUAGCUGGCACUGAUGAUCAGAGCAAAGCAACUCUCCCACAUCUCUCUGGACAUGGCUUUUAUGCUCCUCUGCAUCUCCAUGAGACUAAACAACAAUCAGCAUUUGACUCUAAAACUCUUUUCAUGGCCAUCUUAUAGUUCAGACACGGUCCCCCCAGGAACCUGUAGCAUGGGGGUCAUAGAAAUCUCAUCCUGUUCCCCCUAGAUACAUUCACAUAUUUCCACAUCAGGUAGAAUACAUGUAGCAAAACCAAACUGGGCAUGCACAAUCACCUGUAGUUUCUUCAGGCAAGGCCACCUCAGAGAUGCAAGAAAAACAGUCUAGGAAAAGUUUUAGAGACCUUUUUCCUGCCAACAUACACAAACCUAGUUACUUUGUUCCAAGGGGCCAACUUCAUCAUGUACCAUACUGGUAGUUAAUUCGGCCUAAAUGCUUGCCAGUUUUUAAUACAGCUUCCCUAAAGUUCCUAUUAAUCUGGGGUGAAUAUAAAGUGCACUGCUUUCUCCCAGCUUGUUUCAUCCUCUGAUUACAUUCACAUAUUGUACGCAGCACAGCUGUGGACACUUCAGGAGCAGCCAUCCUGAAGAUGGAGAUUGACCAUCCAGUACAACCCACCCCAUCCCAACACUCUGAUUUUCUUUCUGUAGGGUUUCACCAUCGAUUGUAGCCUUCCCAAAUCUUAUCUAACACUAUCUCAUCUAGUCUGUGUUCCAAAAUUCGAUUUAUGCACCUGUAUUCAUUCAUUUUUCACUUGGCUUUGCUGUAAUGUCUAACAGCAGAGAUAGCAUUUGUACUUCUGAUAGCUCAAAAGUUUACACAUCAUUUGAAAGCCAUGCAUUUGCAGAUAGAUAAAAAUAGUCUUCGUGUUUUAAUUAAGUGUUUGCAGUGCAACAGUCAGCGUUGGCAAUGGCAACAGUCAGUUACAGCUAAUGAUACCUUUUGAUAAAGGCAUCAAAUUGUUUUACCCCCAAACCAACCUGUACUACUUUGAGUAAUUUCUGCUGGCACCUCUGGCUUAUGUGCUGCUGAUGGUCAGUUUUUAUCCUAUUGAUGUGUACUGUUAUGGUAAUUGGAGGCUAUUUUAGACUAUUUGUGUUUACCCUUAUUGCUAGUUAAUCCCCCCAGAAUUGUGAAGCAUCACUCACAGAUUUUCCAUGUUAGCUGUUAUUUUGCCACUUCUGCACAGAAACUUGCUUGAAACCACCUCAAAUCACAGAUUUGUUGGCCAAGUUCCUAUUACCCUCAGCAGCUCUGUAUUAGGACCUACGUGGCUCAAUUAAUCAGGUGGCUAACACCAAGCAAGUCUAAAGACAAGGAUGAAUGGAAAGCAUCCUGGGGGACAGCUGUGCAGGAAAAUUAAAGUCAAAAAGGAAAGUUGCAGCAGAGACCACAGUAGGACAGAGGAGGAGCUCCUGGCUGUGAGCUGUCUGCAGCUCCAGGAGCCCUGGCUUUUGGCACUUUGUGAAGAAUUGCAGCUGCUGAUGCUGUCAAUAGUCCAGAAAAAGUAGCAGCUGCAAGGGAAGGAGGGAGGACUGCUUGGGACUUCCUGACUGACCUCACACUUCUGUAGCCCAGAUCAUUUCUCCUUCUCCUGCCAUACUUCACCCAUAAAAACACUGAUUACUAUGAUUUCAUGCAGGUGGAGGAAAUUUCACUUUCACGGCUUCAGAGUUGUUUCAUUUUCAGAUCCUAAGGGUUUCCACAGCUUGGAGAGAUCACAGGAGUGAUUUUUUCAAGCGUGGGGCUUGGGGGCUCUCAGUGUUGGGACCUGCCUUUUUACUACUGCUGGAAAGGUCCAGAACUUGAGGGUUGAAAACUAUCAAGUGAACAUCAUACAACAAAAUACAAUUUUCACAGAAAAUGGUUUCUCUUUGUUAAAUUUCACAUCUACUCAUUGUAAAAGCAUCCCCAUAAAACAAACAAAAAAAAGUGUUCAUGUUAUUUUGUGUGAAAAGACAAAACACUUAUUAGAAGGCAUAACACUUUUUGAUUCUUGUCUUACAGAAUAAGCUACGAAUCCUCAACAUAUAAAGUGACUAUAAAGUAAAAACUAAUUUCUCAUGUAGUUAUUCUGUUCCUGAGACCUUUCUGGCUAUCUAAUAUAUUUCCAAAGGAACAUGUUGUUUUGAUAACUGAAUACUCAAUUAGAUAUUCCUCUAGCAAACCAAUUCAGAACUUCCUAUCACGAUCUUCUGUACAGCUACACAGAUAGGGCAUAUAAUUGGACAAAACUUUUCACAGCCACAAGAUUAAGUUUCUUCUUUAAUAAAUAAUUCUUUUUAUUAUUAAAA